GACGAACGCUGGCGGCGUGCUUAACACAUGCAAGUCGAACGGAAAGGCCCUGCUUUUGUGGGGUGCUCGAGUGGCGAACGGGUGAGUAACACGUGAGUAACCUGCCCUUGACUUUGGGAUAACUUCAGGAAACUGGGGCUAAUACCGGAUAGGAGCUCCUGCUGCAUGGUGGGGGUUGGAAAGUUUCGGCGGUUGGGGAUGGACUCGCGGCUUAUCAGCUUGUUGGUGGGGUAGUGGCUUACCAAGGCUUUGAUGGGUAGCCGGCCUGAGAGGGUGACCGGCCACAUUGGGACUGAGAUACGGCCCAGACUCCUACGGGAGGCAGCAGUGGGGAAUAUUGCACAAUGGGCGGAAGCCUGAUGCAGCAACGUCGCGUGCGGGAUGACGGCCUUCGGGUUGUAAACCGCUUUCGCCUGUGACGAAGCGUGAGUGACGGUAAUGGGUAAAGAAGCACCGGCUAACUACGUG
This 468-nucleotide ribosomal RNA is filed under the name uncultured bacterium. RNAcentral's name for it is "partial 16S ribosomal RNA". It matches the Rfam family "Bacterial small subunit ribosomal RNA", at positions 28 to 507 of the family's 1533-position model. The record is from RNAcentral.